This 547-nucleotide ribosomal RNA is filed under the name uncultured bacterium. Its description in RNAcentral is "bacterial SSU rRNA". It matches the Rfam family "Bacterial small subunit ribosomal RNA", at positions 343 to 882 of the family's 1533-position model. The record is from RNAcentral.
GGGAGGCAGCAGUGAAAAUUUUCAACAAGGGGAGCAACCCUGAUCCAGCAAUGCCGCGUGGAUGAAGAAGUCCUUCGGGUUGUAAACUCCUUUUGUCCGGGACGAAAAGCUCCUGGUUUAAUACCGGGGGGAUAUGACGGUACCGGAAGAAAAACCCCCGGCUACCUACGUGCCAACAGCCGCGGUAAUACGGAGGGCGCGAGAGUUUAUCGAAAUUACGGGGCGUAAAGCGUGCGCAGGCGGUGUUGUAAGACAGAUGUGAAAUCCCCGGGCUCAACCUGGGAAAUGCAUUUGAGACUGCACGGCUUGAGUGUGGGAGAGGGGGUUGGAAUUCCGCGUGUAGCAGUGAAAUGCGUAGAUAUACGGAGGAACACCGAUGGCGAAGGCAAUCCCCUGGGCCUGCACUGACGCUCAUGCACAAAAGCGUGGGGAGCAAACAGGAUAAGAUACCCUGGUAGUCCCCGCCCUAAAAGAUGUCAACUGGUUGUGGGGAAUUUGCUUUCUCAGUAACGAAGCUAACGCAUGAAGUUGACCGCCUGGGUGAGUA